CCUACGGGAGGCAGCAGUGGGGAAUAUUGGGCAAUGGGCGAAAGCCUGACCCAGCAACGCCGCGUGAAGGAAGAAGGCUUUCGGGUUGUAAACUUCUUUUGACAGGGAAGAGCAGAAGACGGUACCUGUCGAAUAAGCCACGGCUAACUACGUGCCAGCAGCCGCGGUAAUACGUAGGUGGCAAGCGUUGUCCGGAUUUACUGGGUGUAAAGGGCGUGUAGCCGGGCUGACAAGUCAGUUGUGAAAUCCGGGGGCUCAACCCCCGAACUGGAUUGGAAACUGUUGGUCUUGGGGAUCGGGGAGCCAGGCGGAAUUCUUAGUGUAGCGGUGAAAGGGGUAGAUAUUAGGAGGAACACCAGUGGCGAAGGCGGCCGGCUGGACGUAAACUGACGUUGAGGCGCGAAAGCGUGGGGAGCAAACAGGAUUAGAUCCCCCUGAGUC
This 441-nucleotide ribosomal RNA is filed under the name uncultured bacterium. Its description in RNAcentral is "partial 16S ribosomal RNA". It matches the Rfam family "Bacterial small subunit ribosomal RNA", at positions 338 to 795 of the family's 1533-position model. The record is from RNAcentral.